Molecule: long non-coding RNA, 5925 nt
Organism: Mustela lutreola (European mink)
Lineage: Eukaryota; Metazoa; Chordata; Mammalia; Carnivora; Mustelidae
Exons: 2
Source: RefSeq, a predicted model, not a curated record
GUGACAUUCCAUGAAGGCGCUGCCUGGCCUGUGGACGUCAAGCUGGGCGCAUGCGCGCUGCGGCUCUGACGCAGGGUCAGAGAGGACUCCUGGAGUCUAGGUGUUUCCUUUUCUUCUUUUUCCAAAUGUCUUAUGCUUGGGAUGAAUUAUUGGUUCUGGCCCCUUUCACUUCAUGUCACGGAGAGUGCUCUGUAGCUCGAUGGCAUUUGAGUGAUACAAGUUAUCCCAUUUCCAAGACCCGGCCGCUGGGGACUUGGGCCCCUAACUGCGCCGGAUGGGGUAAUUAUAGGACCUACCUCAGGACUGUGAAGAACGCUAGUGGCGUGCGAGAGCACAGUGUUAGGUGAACAGUACGAGCUCAGUAGGCUUCAGGGCUUGUUACUCAACACUUAACACUCCCUUCAACAAGCAUUUUUGAAUGAUUGUCUGGCUCUGUGAGGCCCUGAGCAUGUUAGUAAAAGAGUAUGUUCUUAAAGAACCAAGAUUUGCUGAAGAAAAUGAAAUCUCCUUGCUCAUGAUCACGGAUUUUGGAGAUUAAGAAGCUCAGUUGGCCGUUAAGUGACAUUUGUGGAUUCAGGCUCAGCAAGUCUCUCGUCCAGCCCAUCCAGGACCAAGUCUAUUUCAUCCGGCUCAUCUUAAAGGGAAAGCCUAAUCUCAAAGUCCUCAUAGCAUGCCUGGCACAGCCACUCAAGUCCACUCAGAAGGCUGGUCCCACCUUGUUGAGUCACCAGCUCCCUCUCUGACCUGGAGCACAAUUAUAAGGAAGGCAAAACACUGACUGUGCUGAUCACGGGGAAGAAGUGACUCGGGCAGUUCCUGGGCAGGAAACCUGUUCUCCAUAUCAGGCAGCAUACCUUUCUGCAUGUGCUUGGGAACCGUGGAGACCCAGCCCUUCCUAAAUAGCUGCUCUUCAUUUUUUUCAUAUAAAGCCACGGAGAGGUUUUGGGCUGAUGGUGUCAAUGUCUGUCAGCUUCCUGAGGGAGGGUGUGUCCAUCGAACUAGCUCUUCAUGAUUGUCAAUUACCUAUGGGCAGAUACACCGCUUUUGUGCAGAAGAUGAGAUGCCUGUCCUUGAGAAGUUUACAGGCUAAUACCACUGUCCCCUGGACUGUGACUACUUGGAGCGCAGAUAAUGCACUUAGAAUUGAUUUCAGACUCCUUUCCCCACUCCUGCUCAACCCAAGUCUUCUGACCAGUUUUGUCCGAGAAUGCCUCCUGUACUCUCACGCCAGAUUUGGUAUUCAAGCAGUUGUGGCGAAGGCUGAAAACAGUCAAAACUCCUUUUUCCCCCCCUUUUAGUGAGUAUCCAGUGUAAGCUACAUUUUUUCAGUUUCCUCCCUCUUUCAAGACCCUUAGCUCAAUUAAUCCCAAGUAAUUGCUCUUUGAGAAUCCUGGGGGCGGGGGUGUCAGUUGUUAAGCAACUGCCUUCAGCUCAGGUCAUGAUCCCAGAGUCCUGGAAACAAGCCCUGUAUUGGGCUCCUUGAUCUGUGGGGAUCCUGCUUCUCCCUUUGGCUGCCAUUCCCCCUGCAUGUGCUCUCUCUCUGAUAGAUAGAUAGAUAGAUAGAUAGAUAAAAUCUCUUUUAAAAAUUGCUCUUUGGCACUUAAUAGGAAAAAAGCAUUUUCUAAUCUAACUUGCUUCAUAAAGAUGCAGUGGAGGGAUGGGUAGGUUGGAAGAGAGAGAGAGAGAGAGAGAGAGAGAGUGUGUGUGUGUGUGUGUGUGUGUGUUUGUAACACACAGAGUGGCCAUGACUUACUGCCUCAACGACUAUUACAACUGGCAAUAGGUGCAGGGUUUAGGAGGCGGGUAUCCAAAUCACCAGUCUCUCCACUUUUCUAUACGUUUGAAAUUCUCCACAAUAAGAGAUGUUUCUUAAAAAAAUUGUAUUUCUAUAUUUGUGUUGAACUGUGUUCAAAUUCUUUUUUUAAAAAAGAUUUUAUUUAUUUAUUUGACAGAGAGACACAGUGAGAGGGGGAACGCAAGUAGGGGGUGUGGGAAAGGGAGAAGCAGACUUCCUUCUGAGCAGGGAACAUGACAGAUAUGGGACUUGAUCCCAGGACCGUGGGAUCAUGACCUAAGCUGAAGGCAGAUGCUUAACAGACUGAGCCACCCAGGUGCCCCUGUGUUCAAAUUCUUUGUCCAGUUGUCUGUUGUGGUACUCACCUUUUCAUCUUUCUUUUAUUGAUUUAUUAAAGUCGUUUAUACAUUAAGGAAGUUCUUUUGUCAUAUGUAUUGCAAAUUUUUCCCAUUUUGUUCCUUGUUACCACUAUUUUUGGCAUGAAAAUUUAAGUUUCAACACAGUUACAUCUAUUAUUGUUUUCAUUUUCUUUUUCUUUUUUUUUGUUAUGUUUAAAAAGACCUUACCCACUACUAGAUUUGAAACAAUGACAAUGUAGAUACAUAGAUAGAUAAAUAGAUAAGAUAGAUAGAUAGAUAGAUAGAUAAAAUCUCUUUUAAAAAUUGCUCUUUGGCACUUAAUAGGAAAAAAGCAUUUUCUAAUUUAACUUGCUUCAUAAAGAUGCAGUGGAGGGAUGGGUAGGUUGGAAGAGUGUGUCUGUGUGUGUGUGUGUGUGUGUGUGUGUGUGUGUAACUGUAUCUUUGUACAGUACUUUCAACAUUUUAUUGUUGCAUUAAAUCUUUGACCUCUCUGGAAUUUAUUUUGGUGUAACAAUUGAGGUCAAGAUUUAGCUUUGUUGUUUUACUUUUAUUUAUUCCAAAUUGGUAAUCCAUGGUCCCAAUAUUAUUUAUUUAGGGACCAUUUUUUUUUUCCUCCACUCAUCUGAAAGGCUACAUUUAGGAUGUAACAGUUUCUCACAAGGAUUUGUCUGAAACCUUCAUUAUGGGUUUGUUUCUUUUUUUGAAGAUUUAUUUAUAUAUUUGAGAGAGAGAGAGAGAGAGCAUGCUGAGGGAGGGGUAGAGAGAGAAGGAGAAAGAAAAUCCCAAGCAGACUCCCCAUUGAACAGACAGCCAGAUGCACGGCUUAUCCCACCAUGUGGAGAUCAUGACCUGAAUGGAAAUUAAAAUUGGAUGCUUUCCCUUCCUGAUCAAAACCUUCAAAGUGUAGGGAUAGAGGGCACAUACCUCAAUAUUAUCAAAGCCAUCUAUGAAAAACCCACUGCAAAUAUCAUUCUCAAUCGAGAAAAACUGAAAGCUUUUCCGCUGAAGUCAGGAACACGGCAGGGAUGUCCAUUAUCACCACUGCUAUUCAAUAUAGUACUAGAAGACCUAGCCUCAGCAAUCAGACAACAAAAGGAAAUUGAAGGCAUCCAAAUCAGCAAAGAAGAAGUCAAACUAUCACUCUUCACAGAUUAUAUGUUACUAUAUGUGGAAAACCCAAAAGACUCCACUCCAAAACUGCUAGAACUUAUACAGGAAUUCAGUAAAGUGUCAGGACAUAAAAUCAAUGCACAGAAAUCGGUUGUAUUUCUCUACACCAACAAUAAGACAGAAGAAAGAGAAAUUAAGGAGUCAAUCCCAUUUACAAUUGCACCCAAAACUAUAAGAUACCUAGGAAUAAACCUCACCAAAGAGGCUAAGAAUCUAUACUCAGAAAACUAUAAAGUACUCAUGAAAGAAAUUGAGGAAGACACAAAGAAAUGGAAAAAUGUUCCAUGAUCCUGGAUUGGAAGAACAAAUAUUGUGAAAAUGUCUAUGCUACCUAAAGCAAUCUACAUAUUUAAUGCAAUUCCUAUCAAAAUACCAUCCAUUUUUUUCAAAGAAAUGGAACUAAUAACCCUAAAAUUUAUAUGGAACCAGAAAAGACCUCGAAUAGCCAAAAGAAUAUUGAAAAAGAAAGCCAAAGUUGGUGGCAUCACAAUUCCGGACUUCAAGCUCUAUUACAAAGCUGUCAUCAUCAAGACAGCAUGGUACUGGCACAAAAACAGACACAUAGAUCAAUGGAACAGAAUAGAGAGCCCAGAAAUAGACCCUCAACUCUAUGGUCAACUAAUCUUCGACAAAGCAGGAAAGAAUGUCUAAUGGAAAAAAGACAGCCUCUUCAAUAAAUGGUGUUGGGAAAAUUGGACAGCCACAUGCAGAAAAAUGAAAUUGGACCAUUUCUUUACACCACACAUGAAAAUAGACUCAAAAUGGAUAAAGGACCUCAAUGUGAGAAAGGAAUCCAGCAAAAUCCUUGAGGAGAACACAGGCAGCAACCUCUUUGACCUCAGCCACAGCAACAUCUUCCUAGGAACAUCGCCAAAGGCAACAGAAGCAAGGGCAAAAAUGAACUAUUGGGAUUUCAUCAAGAUCAAAAGCUUUUGCACAGCAAAGGAAACAGUUAACAAAACCAAAAGACAACUGACAGAAUUGGCGAAGAUAUUUGCAAAUGACAUAUCAGAUAAAGGGCUAGUGUCCAAAAUCUAUAAAGAACUUUUCUAACUCAACACCCAAAACCCAAAUAAUCCAAUCAAGAAAUGGGCAGAGGACAUGAACAGACAUUUCUGCAAAGAAGUCAUCAAGAUGGCCAACAGACACAUGAAAAAGUGCUCCACAUCACUUAGCAUCAGGGAAAUACACAUCAAAACCACAAUGAGAUAUCACCUCACACCAGUCAGAAUGGCUAAAAUUAACAAGUCCGGAAAUGACAGAUGCUGGCGAGGAUGCGGAGAAAGGGGAACCCUCCUACGCUGUUGGUGGGAACGCAAGCUGGUGCAACCACUCUGGAAAACAACUAGGAGGUUCCUAAAAAUGUUGAAAAUAGAACUACCCUACGACCCAGCAAUUGCACUACGGGGUAUUUACCCUAAAGAUACAAACGUAGUGAUCCAAAGGGGCACGUGCACCUGAAUGUUUAUAGCAGCAAUGUCCACAAUAGCCAAACUAUGGAAAGAACCUAGAUGUCCAUCAACAGAUGAAUGGAUAAAGAAGAUGUGGUAUAUAUACAUAAUGGAAUACUAUGCAGUCAUUAAAAGAAAUGAAAUCUUGCCAUUUGCGACUAUGUGGAUGGAACUAGAGGGUAUCAUGCUUAGCAAAAUAAGUCAAUCGGAGAAAGACAACUAUCAUAUGAUCUCCCUGAUAUGAGGAAGUGGAGAUGCAACAUGGGGGGUUAAGGAGGUAGGAGGAGAAUGAAUGAAACAAGAUGGGAUUGGGAAGGAGGCAAACCAUAAGUGACUCUUAAUCUCACAAAACAAACUGAGGGUUGCUGGAGGGAGGGGGUUUGGGAUAUGGGGGUGGGGUUAUGGACAUUGGGGAGGGUAUGUUCUAUGGUGAGUGCUGUGAAGUAUGUAAACCUGGUGAUUCACAGACCUGUACUCCUGGGGAUAAAAAUACAUUAUAUGUUUAUAAAAAAUAAAAAUAAUUGGAUGCUUGUCCAACUGAGCGACCCAGGUGCCCCAUGAAAUCUUGAUUAUCGUUAAAAUGAUACCAUUUAAUGAAUCGUUUUAAUGAUUCCUUUUCACUUUCUUUUCUUAUGCCAGGAAAACUAUUUUUGUUACAGUAGCUUUGUAACUACCCAAUUCAUUCUAAGCAGAAUGGAAAACUAAGGGUUCAGGCUCUGAUGUUGGAAUGCUUGGCUCAAAUCUUGGCUUGAAUGCAUAUCAGAUAAUUACUUCUCCCUAGGAUGCUGUUUUUGCUUCUGUAAAAUGAAGAUAAUAAUGAGAUAAUAAUGUUACCUGUCUAAUGGGGCUGUGUGAGAAUUAAAUGAGCCUAGCAUAUAGUAGAAUUGGGCAUAGAACAUGGUUAAUACCCACUAAAUGUUAGCUAUCCAUAAUUUUCAGGAUAGUAUGAUUCUCUUAUAUUUAUUAUUCCAUGUAACUUUGAUAUCACUUUGUCAAGUUCCAUCUAAAAAGCUUAUUUAUUUUGGAAUUGAAUCAGUAGAUUGAUUAGGACAGGUGAACAUGUUUAUGAUAUUGAAUAUCCCUCAGAUUUCAAAAACAUAUCGUUAUUCAUGUUUCUUGUAUGUUUCUCAGUAAAGUUUCAUUAUUUUUU